Long non-coding RNA from Vidua chalybeata, 3381 nucleotides. RefSeq lists it as uncharacterized. The record is from RefSeq and is a predicted model, not a curated record. The transcript is spliced from 3 exons. NCBI's taxonomy places the organism in Eukaryota, Metazoa, Chordata, Aves, Passeriformes, Viduidae.
CAAAGGGUUUAGUUUAAUUAGCGUUUACUUUUAGAUAAUUUUAUUGUGCAUACGUUCUGGCCAGAGCCAUUACUGGGGAGGUGUUGCCCUUCAGGGCUCACCCAGGACAAGGGACAGCUCCUCACAGCACGGGGAGCCUGGGGCCUGCCUGGGACAGAUUUCACCCUAACAAAUGUUUGUAACUGGAGGAAGGCACUGGAGCAUGCAUUCUAUGGUAUUUGCCCAUAUAUGCCUUUGGGAAGUGUUUAAACUCCUUCCCAGUAAUUGAUCGGGCAGUCCGUGCUAGCGGGAAGCCUCCACGGCUCUGCUCAGCACACAACUCUUCGGAACGCUGGGAGCGGGGCGCCAUCGUCUGGAAAAGCUGGGAACGGCCUGGAAGGCUCCCAGGUGAGGAGAGACUGUCCAUACAGCUGAGUCAGACCUGUUCUCACAGGGGAAACAAACACGAGAAAUCUGAAAAAAAAAAAUGCACAAUAAUUGUAUGCUAUGUUGAACUAUAGAGCACCAUCUUAACUAUGAAAAUGUUUGUUUACAGUGUUUUUCUCAAAAAUUCUGUUUUACACUUAAAAGGUCAGAUACUAGACUUAGGUAACUGCUUUUAUAAGUUCACGUUUCAUCAGUUUAUUUAGGGAUUUAUUAAAUAAUUUCUUUGUGUGUGCUUUGGGAAAAGAAAUAAAAAGAUUGCAGGGACUUGGGUGCUCUUAAUGCACCUGGGAUGAAAGCACAUUUUUAGUCUGCUUGCCAUCUGGGUCCUUUUGUUUAUUCAUCAGCUGAACUAAAUAUCCCUGUGUGUAUCAGUACUUAGUUUACUAUGUAAAACAAUGCAAAACAAACUCUAUACAGACAGCACUGAUGAUUUAUUUACCCUCAUGUACUGGCUGAUAAUGGUCCUGGAGAAACAACUUAUCUUUUUACCAUGUAUAAUAAUAAGGCAAUCAUGAAACAGUCAUCUUAAGGAUAAAAUUAUACUUUUGUUUAUGAAAUGACGGUUUUCCUUCCCCUACAUAAAUUGAUGCCAUAAAAGGUGUAAAUGCUUCAUAGCUGUAAUAAAUGUAGUUAUUUUAUCCUGCAUAUUUAGCACCAGUUGCUUUCAAACUGUGAAAUACUGAGAGAAGACAAUGUAGUAAAGGAAAAUAGAGAUAAAAGAGCAAAAAUACUCAAAAGAGCAAAUAUAAUGAUGAGGAUAUCAUCAUUUUACAGCUUUACACACAGAAGGCAGCUACACGUGUGUUUUAAGAGCAGAUUGCUGUGGUGGCUGCAAAACAGUAAAUGGAAAGGAUCCAUAUUUAUUCUAGUAGCUUCCAUAGUUGUGUCAGGUAUUUCAGAGAAUGAAAGAGCAUGUAGGGUCCUUCCUAGAGCAUUCAGGUGUGGAAAAUGGAAUAAGAAGAGUAGAUCAGUAGGGGAUUUUCCAGCUCCAGAGCACAGAGACAGUCAGUGCCCAGCACGAUUUGGUAUAGAGGGGAGGAGAGGGUGAAACUGGAAAAGUAAUUAAGAGUGGGGAAUGUGAAGGAUGUUUAUAUUUUUUUUUUAUGGUAGAGAGGGAAUCUAGAGGCUUUCAGAUUACGUCUUUCCUGUGAAUUAGCAACUUGGAUAGAAGGCUUUUUUUUUUUAAUUUGUUGGUCAAAGAGGAAAUUACCUUUGGGCAAAGACAGGCCCGUAUUUGAACGGCACUGUUCUUGGGGUGUGUUCCACACCUGGUGCAGUGAGAGAAGCUCCUGGUGACCCUGCAAGCAGCAGGUGCCCAGAGUGUGAGCUGGACAUUAUUAAUGAAACUGUGGAGAGGACAGGAUAUGGCAAGAAAACAGAGAGGGAAGCUGAGAGCAGUGGCAUAAUGCAAAGAGCUGGUGAAACAUGACAUUUGAGCUACGUGUGCUCACUCCUGAAAAAACUGAACGUGUCCAGAGCAGCCAUCAAGAAAAAAAGACCUUAGCAAUGUUCUUUUGGAUAGAGGGAAAUGAGCUGGAUAUUUCCCUUCCCUUGAGAUCCCAAGGGACCUUCUUCUCUGGCAAUGGAUUUGUUUAUUGGACUAGGAAGCUGCUGCAGUAUGUGCCAUGUCUUUUACCCAACUACCCAUCUUUGUAUAUUACACUUACAGUUAUUUGUAGAGAGAAAUAAUGCAUUAACAGCCCUGCCCUGAGCAUCAGUGCAGUGUCCUCAUGAGAUCCCACCAAAAUACCUGAACAGAAUCCUUGCCACUCGUUACUUGAUGGGUGUCUUCCGGAGUUUUUGCUUCUAUGUCAGAAAAUUACUUUUAAAUGCCAGCCUUCUGCUUUUCUGAGUCACUCUGCCACUUGGGAGUGAUUCUGCAAGAAAUAGCAGAUAUGUACAGUAGUGAGAUAAUUGAAGACCAGAUUCAAGUAUGACAUUUUAAAUGGUAAUUCUGCUGGUGAAGAAAUAAAUGCUGCUGGUAUUGAAAAGACAAAAUGUCAACACAAUUAAAAACAAAAACCAAACCAUGUAAUUAAGCAAGGAAAACAUUCAGAAACAAAAUAUGUUUCUGAUAAUUUUCUUCUUAGGAUAAGAACACUUCAGAAGGGAAGAGUAGGCUGUGAGGGUUUGCAGUCUACUCAUAUGAAAAUGUUUUAUUGACUCAUAUGAGUAGGUUGUCAUCAAAACUGUAUCUGUGCUUCAGAAAAGGAUGAGUGACAAUCACAGAUUUAGAAAGGAUAAACCUUCUCCCAGCGUGGACUUUCAGGAGUGGCAGAAUUUUCUCAGGAUUUCAUCUGUUCAGUCAGCAAGAGCAUUCCAGCACAGCUCUGGAAGCCAGGGAUACUGGUUGUGGAAACCUGCUUGCAUCUUGGAAGUUUUUUGUUUAGAAAGAAGUUCUGUCAAGUAUAUGCAUUUUCAUUUCAGGCAGAGGAUUUGUUAGAAGGAAAAGAAUAGUGUAAGAGUGUGUAAACUAUCUUAGCCAUAUUAAAUAAUCUGGCUUGGAAAAACAUGAAACCUCAUUUGUAAUAAUGCCCCUUUUCUCCAAGCUGAUACUGAAAACAAUCUUGGAGUAUCUAUAAAACUUACUGAUUCUUUUAGUCUUUAUUCUCAUUUUGUCUUCUGUUGUCUUUUCUCUGAACUUCCAGUCUACAGACCUUGGUAACAAGGGCCCCUCAAGGGUGAAUGUAGGGUUUCAGGAAUGUUUUGCCAGUUGCUUUAUGAUGAUUCUUCCCCAUACUUUGUCAGCUUAUACUUUCUGAAGUGCAAUUGCAUGUGAAAUCACUAGCCUUAAAUUGUUGACUAAAGACAGAGACUUAAUUAAUUCUGUGUAUAGCAUCUGCAAACCGAGUUAAAGCUGAGUGUUCAGACAUUUCAAAACACAGCUGCCCUAAGAAUCAGAUUGGUGUAAGAAUUUGAAGAUGAUGAGAGAGAGAAAUACAAAUAAAUAUUUUA